Molecule: ribosomal RNA, 433 nt
Filed under: uncultured bacterium
Lineage: Bacteria
Description: partial 16S ribosomal RNA
Rfam family: Bacterial small subunit ribosomal RNA
Source: RNAcentral
AACGAACGCUGGCGGCAUGCCUAACACAUGCAAGUCGAACGAGACCUUCGGGUCUAGUGGCGCACGGGUGCGUAACGCGUGGGAACCUUCCCUUAGGUUCGGAAUAACUCCCCGAAAGGGGUGCUAAUACCGGAUAAUGUCUUCGACCCAAAGAUUUAUCGCCUUGGGAUGGGCCCGAGUUGGAUUAGCUAGUUGGUAGGGUAAAAGCCUCCCAAGGCGACGAUCCAUAGCUGGUCUGUGAGGAUGAUCAGCCACACUGGGACUGAGAAACGGCCCAGACUCCUACGGGAGGCAGCAGUGGGGAAUAUUGGAAAACGGGCGAAGGCAUGAUCCAGCAAUGCCGCGUGAGUGAUGAAGGCCUUAGGGUUGUAAAGCUCUUUUAACCGGGAUGAUAAUGACAGUACCGGGAGAAUAAGCUCCGGCUAACUCCGUG